UGGUAAUGCUGGAUGCUCCAACUUGACGCAUGUCUUGGUUGGGGAAAGUGUUUAGUGGCAGUGGGGAGUGGGGUCGCGUCCUAUCAGCUUGUAGGCGGGGUAAUGGCCCACCUAGGCUUCGGACGGGUAGCCGGCCUGAGAGGGCGGACGGCCACAGUUGGGACUGAGAUACGGCCCAGACUCCGUACGGGAGGCAGCAGGUGGGGAAUAUUGCGCAAUGGGGAAAACCCUGACGCAGCGACGCCGCGUGCGGGAUGAAGGCCUUCGGGGUUGUAAACCGCUUUUGAUUGGGGAGCAAGCCUUUUGGGGUGAGUGUACCUUUCGAAUAAGCGCCGGGCUAACUACGUGCCCAGCAGCCGCGGGUAAAUA
This 369-nucleotide ribosomal RNA is filed under the name uncultured Gardnerella sp. RNAcentral's name for it is "bacterial SSU rRNA". It matches the Rfam family "Bacterial small subunit ribosomal RNA", at positions 161 to 525 of the family's 1533-position model. Lineage: Bacteria; Bacillati; Actinomycetota; Actinomycetes; Bifidobacteriales; Bifidobacteriaceae. The record is from RNAcentral.